Molecule: ribosomal RNA, 305 nt
Filed under: uncultured bacterium
Lineage: Bacteria
Description: bacterial SSU rRNA
Rfam family: Bacterial small subunit ribosomal RNA
Source: RNAcentral
UUGCCCUUACGGGGCGCAGCAGUGGGGAAUAUUGGGCAAUGGGCGCAAGCCUGACCCAGCAACGCCGCGUGAAGGAAGAAGGCUUUCGGGUUGUAAACUUCUUUUCUCAGGGACGAAGAAAGUGACGGUACCUGAGGAAUAAGCCACGGCUAACUACGUGCCAGCAGCCGCGGUAAUACGUAGGUGGCAAGCGUUGUCCGGAUUUACUGGGUAUAAAGGGCGUGUAGCCGGGCUGACAAGUCAGAUGUGAAAUCCGGGGGCUCAACCCCCGAACUGCAUUUGAAACUGUUGGUCUUGAGUAUCGG